GACGAACGCUGGCGGCGUGCUUAACACAUGCAAGUCGAACGGAAAGGCCCUGCUUUUGUGGGGUGCUCGAGUGGCGAACGGGUGAGUAACACGUGAGUAACCUGCCCUUGACUUUGGGAUAACUUCAGGAAACUGGGGCUAAUAUCGGAUAGGAGCUCCUGCUGCAUGGUGGGGGUUGGAACGUUUCGGCGGUUGGGGAUGGACUCGCGGCUUAUCAGCUUGUUGGUGGGGUAGUGGCUGACCAAGGCUGUGACGGGUAGCCGGCCUGAGAGGGUGAACGGCCACCUGGGUCCUGAGAUACGGCCCAGUCUCCUACGGGAGGCAGCAGUGGGGAAUAUUGCACAAUGGGCGGAAGCCUGAUGCAGCAACGCCGCGUGCGGGAUGACGGCCUUCGGGUUGUAAACCGCUUUCGCCUGUGACGAAGCGUGAGUGACGGUAAUGGGUAAAGAAGCACCGGCUAACUACGUG
RNAcentral lists this ribosomal RNA (468 nucleotides) under uncultured bacterium. Its description in RNAcentral is "partial 16S ribosomal RNA". It matches the Rfam family "Bacterial small subunit ribosomal RNA", at positions 28 to 507 of the family's 1533-position model. The record is from RNAcentral.